GGUGAACGGCUGGCGGGCGUGCCUAACACAUGCAAGUCGAGCGGUGCAGUUUGAAGCUUCGGUGGAAAGCUGCAUAGCGGCGGACGGGUGAGGAAAACGUAGGAACGUGCCCCUUGGAGUUGGAUAGCCACGGGAAACUGUGGGUAAACCGACAUAGACUCGAGAGAGUAAAGGCCGAAAGGCGCCAAGGGAGCGGCCUGCGGCCCAUCAGGGUAGUUGGUAGUGUAAAGGACUACCAAGCCGACGACGGGUAGCCGGUCUGAGAGGAUGGCCGGCCACAAGGGGCACUGAGAGACGGGCCCUACUCCUACGGGAGGCAGCAGUGGGGGAUUUUGGACAAUGGGCGAAAGCCUGAUCCAGCGACGCCGCGUGGAGGACGAAGCCCUUCGGGGUGUAAACUCCUUUUCUCAGGGAAAAAGGAUGAUGGUACCUGAGGAAUAAGCCCCGGCUAACUACGUG
This 459-nucleotide ribosomal RNA is filed under the name uncultured bacterium. Its description in RNAcentral is "bacterial SSU rRNA". It matches the Rfam family "Bacterial small subunit ribosomal RNA", at positions 35 to 507 of the family's 1533-position model. The record is from RNAcentral.